This is a non-coding RNA of Pectobacterium wasabiae, 443 nucleotides long. The record is from Rfam. NCBI's taxonomy places the organism in Bacteria, Pseudomonadati, Pseudomonadota, Gammaproteobacteria, Enterobacterales, Pectobacteriaceae.
CAGCAAUAUGGAGAGUACGGCGAGUGGCCAAAUGAGGUAACUAAGCCAUUGCAGCCAGCUCGGUAUAUAGCUCAUGAUCUGGGGGAUCCAGUUAUUAAGCCGGGUGAAAAGCCACCAAAAAGCGCCGCCCAUCAGCACGAUGUUCAUGAGUAAAGGAAGGAUAACGAAACGUCGGAUACCAGGCAGUGAGAUCAGGCGCCAUCCGGCAAGAAAAUAGUGUAUACCACUGCGAGUUUGGUCUGCUGUAUUGCCGUAAGGCGGUUUUUCGGAAGACAUUGUGACAAUGUUCUCAGUCAUUUGUUUGUUGAGGCAUCAUAUCGGGAUGAUCUUAUGCUGGCUAGCCCAUAUUUGGAUGAAAAAACAGCAAAAAAAUGCGUUCUAUCUAUCUUUAUUGCCAUAAAGUACCGCGCAGGCUUGCACUUGUGUACUCAGGCAAAUAGAGU